Molecule: long non-coding RNA, 921 nt
Organism: Hypanus sabinus (Atlantic stingray)
Lineage: Eukaryota; Metazoa; Chordata; Chondrichthyes; Myliobatiformes; Dasyatidae
Exons: 2
Source: RefSeq, a predicted model, not a curated record
CUUGGCCUCGGGCCCGCCCGCCCCGUCCCCGGCUUGGCCUCGUUUAUUCCCAAACCUGUUGUUCGAUGGCGUGUAGGCUGAGCCUCAGCUGUACUAGCCUACCCGCCAUCGAGGACAUAUAGACAGAAAACGGCCGGCAACUUCAUGAAGGAUCUCAUCCACCCUGCUCACGGACUGUUUGUCUCACUUCCAUCGGGGAGGAGGCUACUUAGCAUCCACACCAGGCCCCCAGACUCAAAAGCAGAUGCUUUUCCCAUGCGUCUAUCACAGAUCCACGCGUCGCUCGCCUUCCCCGACUCUGGACGUUGCAAACGCUCGGCUCGCACGGACACUCCACCUUGGUCACAUGGACGCGCUGGAACAAGUCAGUUAAAAGCAACAGGCCGCUCCCUCUCCCCGCUGAACCGUGAGCUAAUGAUUUAAGGGGUGGUCGCCGUUUGUCCAGACUCACUGUGAGGCAAUUAAAUAAAUUUUCAGCGACAGCAGGAACAAGUUUUCCAAAGAAAAAUCCCUGAAUUGCCUCACAACUGGUUACCGGCAUCGCCGGCAGUUUCCUCAUUCCUGCAUUGCAACUUUUCACGCUCUAUUUUUAGCUGUACCCAGGCCGAUUCACGCUUCCUCCAUGUCGUUACUCAAGUUGAGUAAGAAGUUUACGUCCCGGGAAACUCUGGAGGCAGAACCGGGAUCCACACGCCGAAUAACGAUCAUUAAACUAAUGAAUACCCUGCCAGCAUCGAGGUCUCGUCAAGCAUUGCAGCAGGCAUUUUGAAGUAUAUUUUAUUAAGUAAUUUGUUAUAAUAUUUUAUUUUAUGUGCCGUGAGUGAUAUGUAUUAUGGGUACAUCGUGGUUCGCAGGAUCGUUGUUUCAUUUGGUUGUGUAUAUGUACAGUCAGAUUACAAUAAACUUGGGCUUGAACUCGCA